RNAcentral lists this ribosomal RNA (500 nucleotides) under uncultured bacterium. RNAcentral describes it as "partial 16S ribosomal RNA". It matches the Rfam family "Bacterial small subunit ribosomal RNA", at positions 30 to 523 of the family's 1533-position model. The record is from RNAcentral.
AUUGAACGCUGGCGGAAUGCUUUACACAUGCAAGUCGAACGGCAGCACGGACUUCGGUCUGGUGGCGAGUGGCGAACGGGUGAGUAAUGUAUCGGAACGUGCCCAGUCGUGGAGGAUAACGUAGUGAAAAUUACGCUAAUACCGCAUACGAUCUAUGGAUGAAAGCGGGGGAUCGCAAGACCUCGCGCGAUUGGAGCGGCCGAUAUCAGAUUAGGUAGUUGGUGGGGUACAGGCCCACCAAGCCAACGAUCUGUAGCUGGUCUGAGAGGACGACCAGCCAAACUGGAACUGAGACACGUUCCAGACUCCUACGGGAGGGAGCAGUGGGGAAUUUUGGACAAUGGGCGAAAGCCUGAUCCAGCCAUUCCGCGUGCAGGAUGAAGGCCCUCGGGUUGUAAACUGCUUUUGUACAGAACGAAAAGGUUUGUACUAAUACUAGGAGCUCAUGACGGUACUGUAAGAAUAAGCACCGGCUAACUACGUGCCAGCCGCCGCCGUAA